UAUAAAUCGUUGAGAAAGAGUAGUAGUUAUAUGGUUAAGUACCUUUGAGCGAGUCGGAAUAGUGAGAGCCGAUAGGUACACCUAUAAUGAAUGGACUUUCGAGAGAUUUGCUGAAAUUAAAGUAAGCAAAUUCGGGAUCUCCCGUUACAGAGAUAGGAUAUGUUAGUAUCCAAAGAGUGAGGAGUUACAAGAUAAAAGCCAUAGUGUUUUUCUUUGCUUCUAAUUGAGGUGGCACCGCGAUAAAACGUCCUCUUA
Molecule: non-coding RNA, 255 nt
Filed under: Brochothrix thermosphacta
Lineage: Bacteria; Bacillati; Bacillota; Bacilli; Caryophanales; Listeriaceae
Description: T-box sequence
Rfam family: T-box leader
About the family: Uncharged tRNA acts as the effector for transcription antitermination of genes in the T-box leader family. T-boxes are found upstream of many aminoacyl-tRNA synthetase genes and some amino acid biosynthetic genes usually in Gram-positive bacteria.
Source: RNAcentral